GGAAAGACUUCCUGUGUUCUUGGAUAAGCAGAAAUAAUAUUGUCAAAAUGACCAUAUUACCAAAAACAUUAUACAGAUUCAGUGCAAUCCCCAUCAAAAUACCAAUGACGGUAUUAAAAUUCAUUUGCAAGAAUAGGAGACUCAGAAUAGCCAAAGCAAGACUGAGCAAGAAGAGCAAUGCUAGAGGCAUCGCAAUACCUGAUCUCAAAUGAUACUACAGAGCUAUAGUCACAAAAACAGCAUGGCAUUGACCUCAAAAUAGAAACAGACCAAUGGAAUAGAAUACAAGACACAGAGACAAACCCAUCCGGAUAUAGUCAUCUGAAAAUCAACAGAGAUGCCAAAAACAUGUUGGAGAAAAGAUAAGCUUUUUAACAAAUAGUGCGGGGAACACUGGGUAUCCAUAUGUAGAUCCAUAUAUUUUACCUUGCACAAAAGUCAAUUCAAAAUGCAUCAAAACCCCAGACAUUAGACCAGAAACUUUGCACCCUCUAGAAGAAAACAUAGGGUCAACAUUCCAACAUAUUGGUGCAGGCACUGGCUUCCUUAAUAAGACACCUAAAGUUCAAGAAAUAAAGCAAAGAAUCAAUAAAUGCAAUCAGUAUCUUGAAGAAAUAUAUGCACCUCCACGUUCAUUGCAGUGGGACUCACAAUUGCCAAGAUAUGAAAACAACCUGUAUCCAUCAGCGGAUGAUUGAAUAAAGAAAGUGUGAAAUCUGUCUGUCUGUCUCUCUCUUUGUGUCUGUGUGUGCACGUGUGUACAUCUCUCUAUAUAUACAUAUGGACAUACACAUGGAAGUUCUGCCAUUUGUGACAACAUGAAUGAACCUGGAAGUCAUUAUCCAAAGUGAAAUAAACUAGACACAGACAUACUGCAUGAUCUCACUUACACUUGAAACUUAAAAGUGUCAACAUCAUAAAAACCAAAAGGAGGAUGUGGCUUACUGGACCUGAGGGCUAGGGAAAUGGGAGGUGAUGGUCAAAGGGUGCACAGGGUCAGUUAUAUGGAAUGAGCCAGUCCUGGAG
This 1026-nucleotide long non-coding RNA is filed under the name Marmota monax (woodchuck). The record is from RNAcentral. Lineage: Eukaryota; Metazoa; Chordata; Mammalia; Rodentia; Sciuridae.